AGCGAACGCUGGCGGCAGGCUUAACACAUGCAAGUCGAGCGGGCAUCUUCGGAUGUCAGCGGCAGACGGGUGAGUAACCCGUGGGAACGUACCCUUCGGUUCGGAACAACUCUGGGAAACUGGAGCUAAUACCGGAUACGCCCUUAUGGGGAAAGGUUUACUGCCGAAGGAUCGGCCCGCGUCUGAUUAGCUAGUUGGUGGGGUAACGGCCUACCAAGGCGACGAUCAGUAGCUGGUCUGAGAGGAUGAUCAGCCACACUGGGACUGAGACACGGCCCAGACUCCUACGGGAGGCAGCAGUGGGGAAUAUUGGACAAUGGGCGCAAGCCUGAUCCAGCCAUGCCGCGUGAGUGAUGAAGGCCUUAGGGUUGUAAAGCUCUUUUGUCCGGGACGAUAAUGACGGUACCGGAAGAAUAAGCCCCGGCUAACUUCGU
Molecule: ribosomal RNA, 434 nt
Filed under: uncultured bacterium
Lineage: Bacteria
Description: partial 16S ribosomal RNA
Rfam family: Bacterial small subunit ribosomal RNA
Source: RNAcentral